This 775-nucleotide ribosomal RNA is filed under the name uncultured bacterium. RNAcentral describes it as "bacterial SSU rRNA". It matches the Rfam family "Bacterial small subunit ribosomal RNA", at positions 8 to 796 of the family's 1533-position model. The record is from RNAcentral.
AGAGUUUGAUCAUGGCUCAGAGUGAACGCUGGCGGCGUGCUUAACACAUGCAAGUCGAACGAGAACGGGUCUAGCUUGCUAGACUGUCAGCUAAGUGGCGAACGGGUGAGUAAUAUAUAGCUAAUGUGCCCUCUACUAGGGGAUAACAGUUGGAAACGACUGCUAAUGCCCUAUACUCCUUCUUUACACAGGUAUAGUUGGGAAAGUUUUUUCGGUAGAGGAUCGGGCUAUAUGGUAUCAGCUUGUUGGUGAGGUAAGAGCUCACCAAGGCUAUGACGCCUAUCUGGUCUGAGAGGAUGAUCAGACACACUGGAACUGAGACACGGUCCAGACUCCUACGGGAGGCAGCAGUGGGGAAUAUUGCACAAUGGACGAAAGUCUGAUGCAGCAACGCCGCGUGGAGGAUGACACAUUUCGGUGCGUAAACUCCUUUUAUGUGAGAAGAUAAUGACGGUAUCACAUGAAUAAGCACCGGCUAACUCCGUGCCAGCAGCCGCGGUAAUACGGAGGGUGCAAGCGUUACUCGGAAUCACUGGGCGUAAAGCGCGCGCAGGCGGCUUUGUAAGUUGGAUGUGAAAUCCUAUGGCUCAACCAUAGAACUGCAUCCAAAACUACUUAGCUAGAGUCUGGGAGGGGAAGAUGGAAUUAGUUGUGUAGGGGUAAAAUCCGUAGAGAUAACUAGGAAUACCAAAAGCGAAGGCGAUCUUCUGGAACAGUACUGACGCUGAGGCGCGAAAGCGUGGGGAGCAAACAGGAUUAGAUACCCUAGUAGUCC